RNAcentral lists this unclassified non-coding RNA (200 nucleotides) under Fusarium sp. RNAcentral describes it as "partial internal transcribed spacer 2". The record is from RNAcentral. Lineage: Eukaryota; Fungi; Ascomycota; Sordariomycetes; Hypocreales; Nectriaceae.
UUAAGUUCAGCGGGUAUUCCUACCUGAUCCGAGGUCAACAUUCAGAAGUUGGGGUUUUACGGCAUGGCCGCGCCGCGUUCCAGUUGCGAGGUGUUAGCUACUACGCAAUGGAGGCUGCAGCGAGACCGCCAAUGUAUUUCGGGGGCGGCACCGCCAGAAGGCAGAGCCGAUCCCCAACACCAAACCCGGGGGCUUGAGGG